AACGAACGCUGGCGGCAGGCUUAACACAUGCAAGUCGAGCGCCCCGCAAGGGGAGCGGCAGACGGGUGAGUAACGCGUGGGAAUCUACCUUUUGCUACGGAAUAACGCAGGGAAACUUGUGCUAAUACCGUAUGUGUCCUUCGGGAGAAAGAUUUAUCGGCAAGAGAUGAGCCCGCGUUGGAUUAGCUAGUUGGUGGGGUAAAGGCCUACCAAGGCGACGAUCCAUAGCUGGUCUGAGAGGAUGAUCAGCCACAUUGGGACUGAGACACGGCCCAAACUCCUACGGGAGGCAGCAGUGGGGAAUAUCGGACAAUGGGCGCAAGCCUGAUCCAGCCAUGCCGCGUGAGUGAUGAAGGCCCUAGGGUUGUAAAGCUCUUUCACCGGAGAAGAUAAUGACGGUAUCCGGAGAAGAAGCCCCGGCUAACUUCGUGCCAGCCGCCGCGGUAA
RNAcentral lists this ribosomal RNA (447 nucleotides) under uncultured Hyphomicrobiales bacterium. Its description in RNAcentral is "bacterial SSU rRNA". It matches the Rfam family "Bacterial small subunit ribosomal RNA", at positions 29 to 523 of the family's 1533-position model. The record is from RNAcentral. Lineage: Bacteria; Pseudomonadati; Pseudomonadota; Alphaproteobacteria; Hyphomicrobiales.